Long non-coding RNA from Cervus elaphus (red deer), 97 nucleotides. RefSeq lists it as uncharacterized. The transcript has 3 exons. NCBI's taxonomy places the organism in Eukaryota, Metazoa, Chordata, Mammalia, Artiodactyla, Cervidae. The record is from RefSeq and is a predicted model, not a curated record.
AAUUCCCUGGCUGUCCAGUGGUUGGGACUCCCCGCUCUCACUGCCCAGAGCCUGGGUUCAGUCUUUGGUCAGGGAACUAAGAUUUUGCAUGCUGUCU